This 69-nucleotide transfer RNA is filed under the name Pseudomonadota bacterium. RNAcentral's name for it is "Proteobacteria bacterium (activated sludge metagenome) tRNA-Met". The record is from RNAcentral. Lineage: Bacteria; Pseudomonadati; Pseudomonadota.
CGCGGGGUGGAGCAGUCUGGCAGCUCGUCGGGCUCAUAACCCGAAGGUCNNAUCCUGCCCCCGCUACCA